Molecule: ribosomal RNA, 215 nt
Filed under: uncultured Planctomycetales bacterium
Lineage: Bacteria; Pseudomonadati; Planctomycetota; Planctomycetia; Planctomycetales
Description: partial 16S ribosomal RNA
Rfam family: Bacterial small subunit ribosomal RNA
Source: RNAcentral
CGAAUACUCCGCGUGUUUGACAAAGGCUCCAAAAGAAGCCACGCAUAACUCCGUGCCAGCAGCCGCGGUAAUACGGAUGUGGCGAGCGUUAUUCGGAAUCACUGGGCUUAAAGCGCACGUAGGCGGUUUUGCAAGCAGGCUGUGAAGUCCCUCGGCUCAACCGAAGAACUGCACCCUGAACUGCAUGACUUGAGGAUGGAAGAGGAGAGUGGAAC